Molecule: long non-coding RNA, 145 nt
Filed under: Mustela putorius furo (domestic ferret)
Lineage: Eukaryota; Metazoa; Chordata; Mammalia; Carnivora; Mustelidae
Description: lncRNA (ENSMPUG00000028849.1)
Source: RNAcentral
CAGGAAGGCUACACACAUGCUCAGGAGAGAUCAAAAUUGGCACACUUAAAGGUGAAAAGAAAUGGCUUUAAAUGGUGACUUCAAUCCAACGAAAGAAAUAAAGAGCACUUCUAUAGUUUUGUAUGUUGAGCCCUGGUAUACAUGA